RNAcentral lists this ribosomal RNA (497 nucleotides) under uncultured bacterium. Its description in RNAcentral is "partial 16S ribosomal RNA". It matches the Rfam family "Bacterial small subunit ribosomal RNA", at positions 28 to 507 of the family's 1533-position model. The record is from RNAcentral.
GAUGAACGCUGGCGGCGUGCCUAAUACAUGCAAGUCGAGCGAACGGACGAGAAGCUUGCUUCUCUGAUGUUAGCGGCGGACGGGUGAGUAACACGUGGAUAACCUACCUAUAAGACUGGGAUAACUUCGGGAAACCGGAGCUAAUACCGGAUAAUAUUUUGAACCGCAGGGUUCAAAAGUGAAAGACGGUCUUGCUGUCACUUAUAGAUGGAUCCGCGCUGCAUUAGCUAGUUGGUAAGGUAACGGCUUACCAAGGCAACGAUGCAUAGCCGACGUGAGAGGGUGAUCGGCCACACUGGAACUGGGACACGGUCCAGACUCCUACGGGAGGGAGCAGUAGGGAAUCUUCGGCAAUGGGCGAAAGCCUGACGGAGCAACGCCGCGUGAGUGAUGAAGGUCUUCGGAUCGUAAAACUCUGUUAUUAGGGAAGAACAUAUGUGUAAGUAACUGUGCACAUCUUGACGGUACCUAAUCAGAAAGCCACGGCUAACUACGUG